AGAGUUUGAUCCUGGCUCAGAUUGAACGCUGGCGGCAUGGCUAAAGCAUGCAAGUCGAACGAUACAGUGGCGCAAGGGCGAGUAAUGCGAUCGAAUGUACCCCGAGGUGGGGGAUAGCGUCGAGAAAUCGUCGGUAAUACCCCAUGUGCUCUACGGAGCAAAGAUUUACCGCCUUGGGAGCGGCGAUACUCCUAUCAGGUAGUUGGUGGGGUAAAGGCCUACCAAGCCAAUGACGGGUAGCGGGUGUGAGAGCAUGACCCGCCGCAUCGGGACUGAGACACUGCCCGGACUCCUACGGGAGGCUGCAGCGACGAAUCUUCCGCAAUGCGCGAAAGCGUGACGGAGCAAUGCCGCGUGUGGGAUGAAGCAUUUCUGAUGUGUAAACCACUGUCAGGGUUUAGGAAUUUUGACCAGACCCAAAGGAAGGGGCCGGCUAACUUCGUGCCAGCAGCCGCGGUAAUACGAAGGGCCCGAGCGUUGAUCGGAAUCACUGGGCUUAAAGGGUGCGCAGGCGGGCUCGUUAGUGUCUUGUGAAAUCCCACGGCUCAACCGUGGAACUGCAGGGCAAACUGCUGGUCUUGAGGUAGGCAGGGGCUGACGGAACGAUAGGUGGAGCGGUGGAAUGCAUAGAUAUCUAUCGGAACGCCAAGAGCGAAGGCAGUCAGCUGGGCCUUACCUGACGCUCAGGUACGAAAGCGUGGGUAGCGAACAGGAUUAGAUACCCUGGUAGUCCACGCCCUAAACGAUGUGCACUAGAUCGAGGCGUCUCUGACGGCGUGUCGGCCGAAGCGAAAGUGUUAAGUGCACCGCCUGGGGAGUACGGUCGCAAGGCUAAAACUCAAAGGAAUUGACGGGGGCUCACACAAGCGGUGGAGCAUGUGGCUUAAUUCGAAGCAACGCGAAGAACCUUAUCCUGGAUUUGACAUGUACGGAUUAGUCUAUCGAAAGGCGAGCCACGACCUCGGGUGGAACGUGCACAGGUGCUGCAUGGCUGUCGUCAGCUCGUGCUGUGAAGUGUCGGGUUAAGUCCCUUAACGAGCGCAACCCCUAUCGUUAGUUGCUAACAGGUUAUGCUGAGUACUCUAGCGAGACUGCCGGUGUCAAACCGGAGGAAGGUGGGGAUGACGUCAAGUCCUCAUGGCCCUUAUGUCCUGGGAUGCAAACGUGCUACAAUGGCGUGUACAGAGCGACGCAAUACCGCGAGGUGGAGCAAAUCGCAAAAAGCACGCCCCAGUUCGGAUUGCAGGCUGCAACUCGCCUGCAUGAAGUUGGAAUCGCUAGUAAUCGUGGAUCAGCUACGCCACGGUGAAUACGUUCCUGAGCCUUGUACACACCGCCCGUCACGUCAUGGAAGCCGGGAGCGCCCGAAGUCGCCCCAUCUCAGGGGUGCCUACGGCGAGAUCGGUGACUGGGACGAAGUCGUAACAAGGUAACCGUA
RNAcentral lists this ribosomal RNA (1438 nucleotides) under uncultured prokaryote. RNAcentral's name for it is "partial 16S ribosomal RNA". It matches the Rfam family "Bacterial small subunit ribosomal RNA". The record is from RNAcentral.